UCUCAGUGAUGACAAACAUGACAAGCAUAUAUCUGAUUGUCUGUGAUGUCACCUUGAGUCUGAGAGA
Haliotis rubra (blacklip abalone) is the source of this 67-nucleotide small nucleolar RNA. RefSeq annotates it as small nucleolar RNA SNORD27. NCBI's taxonomy places the organism in Eukaryota, Metazoa, Mollusca, Gastropoda, Lepetellida, Haliotidae. The transcript has a single exon. The record is from RefSeq and is a predicted model, not a curated record.